UCCAUUCCAUUCCAUUCCUUUCCUUUCCAUUCCAUUCCAUUCCAUUCCAUUCCAUUCCAUUCCAUUCCAUUCCAUUCCAUUCCAUUCCGCUCGAGUCGGGUUGAUUCCAUUCCAUUCCAUUCCAUUCCAUUCCAUUCCAUUCCAUUCCAUUCCAAUCCAUUGCAUUCCAUUCCGUUCCAUUCUAUUCCGUUGCAUUCCAACUGACUCAAUUCCAUUCUAUUCCAUUCCAUUCCGUUCCAUUCCAUUCCAUUCCAUUCCAUUCCAUUCCAUUCCAUUCCA
Molecule: long non-coding RNA, 279 nt
Filed under: Homo sapiens (human)
Lineage: Eukaryota; Metazoa; Chordata; Mammalia; Primates; Hominidae
Description: HSALNT0409331
Source: RNAcentral